CUACGGGUUGCAGCAGUGGGGAAUCUUAGACAAUGGGCGCAAGCCUGAUCUAGCCAUGCCGCGUGAGUGACGAAGGCCUUAGGGUCGUAAAGCUCUUUCGCUGGGGAAGAUAAUGACGGUACCCAGUAAAGAAACCCCGGCUAACUCCGUGCCAGCAGCCGCGGUAAUACGGAGGGGGUUAGCGUUGUUCGGAAUUACUGGGCGUAAAGUGCGCGUAGGCGGAUCAGAAAGUUGGGGGUGAAAUCCCAGGGCUCAACCCCGGAACUGCCUUCAAAACUCCUGGGAUUGAGUUCGGGAGAGGUGAGUGGAAUUCCGAGUGUAGAGGUGAAAUUCGUAGGUAUUCGGAGGAACACCAGUGGCGAAGGCGGCUCACUGGCUCGAUACUGACGCUGAGGUGCGAAAGCGUGGGGAGCAAACAGGAUUAGAUACCCCCGUAGUC
Molecule: ribosomal RNA, 439 nt
Filed under: uncultured bacterium
Lineage: Bacteria
Description: partial 16S ribosomal RNA
Rfam family: Bacterial small subunit ribosomal RNA
Source: RNAcentral